AGGAGCAACAGCCCCAGUGGCGGGGCCAGCUCUGGAGCCCUGGAGCUCCAGAGCUCUCCGUCUGCAGGGCCUGGAGGCUCCAGGGCGGG
RNAcentral lists this microRNA precursor (89 nucleotides) under Canis lupus dingo (dingo). RNAcentral's name for it is "mir-8834 microRNA precursor family". It matches the Rfam family "mir-8834 microRNA precursor family". Lineage: Eukaryota; Metazoa; Chordata; Mammalia; Carnivora; Canidae. The record is from Rfam by way of RNAcentral.